UACGGAGGGGGCUAGCGUUGUUCGGAAUGACUGGGCGUAAAGCGCGCGUAGGCGGAUCAUCAAGUCGGGGGUGAAAUCCCGGGGCUCAACCCCGGAACGGCCUUCGAGACUGGUGGUCUUGAGUUCGAGAGAGGUGGGUGGAAUUCCGAGUGUAGAGGUGAAAUUCGUAGAUAUUCGGAGGAACACCAGUGGCGAAGGCGGCCCACUGGCUCGACACUGACGCUGAGGCGCGAAAGCGUGGGGAGCGAACGGG
This 253-nucleotide ribosomal RNA is filed under the name uncultured bacterium. Its description in RNAcentral is "partial 16S ribosomal RNA". It matches the Rfam family "Bacterial small subunit ribosomal RNA", at positions 524 to 776 of the family's 1533-position model. The record is from RNAcentral.